GGAGUUUGGACCGUGUCUCAGUUCCAAUGUGGGGGACCUUCCUCUCAGAACCCCUACUGAUCGUCGGCUAGGUGGGCCGUUACCCCGCCUACUACCUAAUCAGACGCAUCCCCAUCCAUAAGCGAUAAAUCUUUAUUCCAUCUUAGAUGUCUACGACGGAAACCAUAGGGCAUUAAUCUUACUUUCGCAAGGCUAUUCCCUACUUAUGGGCAGGUUGGAUACGCGAUACUCACCCGUCCGCCACUAGAUGAUAUGCUAAUUGUUCCGAAGAACUCAAAGCAUAUAUCCCGUUCGACUUGCAUGUGUUAGGCACGCCGCCAGCGUUCGUCCUCGAGCCAUGAUCAAACUACU
RNAcentral lists this ribosomal RNA (351 nucleotides) under uncultured Prevotella sp. RNAcentral describes it as "partial 16S ribosomal RNA". Lineage: Bacteria; Pseudomonadati; Bacteroidota; Bacteroidia; Bacteroidales; Prevotellaceae. The record is from RNAcentral.